GACGAACGCUGGCGGCGUGCCUAAUACAUGCAAGUAGAACGCUGAAGAGAGGAGCUUGCUCUUCUUGGAUGAGUUGCGAACGGGUGAGUAACGCGUAGGUAACCUGCCUGGUAGCGGGGGAUAACUAUUGGAAACGAUAGCUAAUACCGCAUAAAAUGGAUUAUCGCAUGAUAAUCAAUUGAAAGGUGCAAAUGCAUCACUACCAGAUGGACCUGCGUUGUAUUAGCUAGUUGGUGGGGUAACGGCUCACCAAGGCGACGAUACAUAGCCGACCUGAGAGGGUGAUCGGCCACACUGGGACUGAGACACGGCCCAGACUCCUACGGGAGGCAGCAGUAGGGAAUCUUCGGCAAUGGACGGAAGUCUGACCGAGCAACGCCGCGUGAGUGAAGAAGGUUUUCGGAUCGUAAAGCUCUGUUGUAAGAGAAGAACGAGUGUGAGAGUGGAAAGUUCACACUGUGACGUAUCUACCAGA
Molecule: ribosomal RNA, 475 nt
Filed under: Streptococcus sp. oral taxon 071
Lineage: Bacteria; Bacillati; Bacillota; Bacilli; Lactobacillales; Streptococcaceae
Description: bacterial SSU rRNA
Rfam family: Bacterial small subunit ribosomal RNA
Source: RNAcentral